CGCGGAGCCGCCGUGAGGGGCGCGCUGCGGGAGCGCUCCUACUCAGCGGGGCAGGACGGCCCUGAGGUCUCGACGGGAGCUCUCGGCGUGUUCGCCGUGCAAGCCGCUGAGUGAGCUGCCGCCUGCACACUUGGGGAGGGAAACUUGAAAAGCUUGACAGGGAGAGAGGUGAGGGAGUGAGGCAGUGCACUCUGAACAUGACAUGAUGGGACUGCAUCUUGUUUAGGGGAAGGGUAUGGACUGCUCUGCAGGACUGUCACCAGAUAGUGAUCUUCGUCAAGAAGAGAGACCCCAAGAUCUGGAAAGAUAUUCAUCUGUGAUGCCUUCAUCCAUUUUUCAAAGAGUUGGAUCCCAGUGACUCAACUGAGCAGAUCAUUGGCAGGCGAAUUGGAGCCCUGUUUACAGAGACAACCUGGAGACGGAGGAGGUCUAAGAACUAAGUUAGAGGAGAAGAAAACAUGCUUAGAUAAUGUGCUGCACACUGGUGGGAGUGAUGGAGGAGAGAGAUGAGCAGAGAAAAGAAAGCUCAGUUUGGACACAUCUCUGAGGAGUCAGAGCAGAGCUGCCUGCAUUGGAAAUGGGUGUGAUGUCUGCAGCACAGUGGUUCCUCUUUCCUUCCCUGCUGGAUUGACAGGCUCAGCUGGUACACUUGAAAUUGGCGUAAAUUCCUCUGACUUUGUACAGCAGCUAGUGGCACCAUGGAUUAUUCAGUCAACAUUAACCCAACAACUUUAUUGCCAUAGCAUGAAGAAAAAAAGAACUAUCUUUGUUAGUAAAUAAUUAAAAUUUCUUUUGUCAGUAAAUUGAGGAAGCAUGAAUUGAAGAAAUAAAAACAUUUUUUUCCCCA
RNAcentral lists this long non-coding RNA (847 nucleotides) under Chloebia gouldiae (Gouldian finch). RNAcentral's name for it is "Erythrura gouldiae (Gouldian finch) lncRNA (ENSEGOG00005009152.1)". The record is from RNAcentral. Lineage: Eukaryota; Metazoa; Chordata; Aves; Passeriformes; Passeridae.